RNAcentral lists this transfer RNA (76 nucleotides) under Oscillospiraceae bacterium. RNAcentral describes it as "tRNA-Asn". It matches the Rfam family "tRNA". Rfam says of the family: Transfer RNA (tRNA) molecules are approximately 80 nucleotides in length. Their secondary structure includes four short double-helical elements and three loops (D, anti-codon, and T loops). Lineage: Bacteria; Bacillati; Bacillota; Clostridia; Eubacteriales; Oscillospiraceae. RNAcentral also lists the same sequence under 1 other name. The record is from RNAcentral.
UCUCUAGUAGCUCAGUUGGCAGAGCACUCGACUGUUAAUCGAGGUGUCGCAAGUUCGAGCCUUGCCUAGAGAGCCA